GCCGGGAUGGUGGAACUGGCAGACACGUACGUUUGAGGUGCGUAUGGGGUAACCCAUGGGGGUUCGAGUCCCCCUCCCGGCA
RNAcentral lists this transfer RNA (82 nucleotides) under Deltaproteobacteria bacterium. RNAcentral's name for it is "tRNA-Leu". It matches the Rfam family "tRNA". Rfam says of the family: Transfer RNA (tRNA) molecules are approximately 80 nucleotides in length. Their secondary structure includes four short double-helical elements and three loops (D, anti-codon, and T loops). Lineage: Bacteria; Pseudomonadati; Myxococcota; Myxococcia. The record is from RNAcentral.